RNAcentral lists this unclassified non-coding RNA (201 nucleotides) under Ellurema indica. Its description in RNAcentral is "ITS1". The record is from RNAcentral. Lineage: Eukaryota; Fungi; Ascomycota; Sordariomycetes; Amphisphaeriales; Sporocadaceae.
GAUCGUAACAAGGUCUCGUUGGUGAACCAGCGGAGGGAUCAUUAUAGAGUUUUCUAAACUCCCAAACCCAUGUGAACUUACCAUUGUUGCCUCGGCAGAACCUACCCGGGUACCUACCCUGGUAACGGUUCUGGCCGGUUGGACUUCUUUAAACUCUUGUUAUUUUUAUAGUAAUCUGAGCGUCUUAUUUUAAUAAGUCAA